RNAcentral lists this long non-coding RNA (555 nucleotides) under Fukomys damarensis (Damara mole-rat). Its description in RNAcentral is "lncRNA (ENSFDAG00000024066.1)". The record is from RNAcentral. Lineage: Eukaryota; Metazoa; Chordata; Mammalia; Rodentia; Bathyergidae.
GUUUAUAGGGCCAGAGAUAUAGCUCAGUGGCUCUGCCUUCAACACACAAGGUCCUGAGUUUGAUCCCUGGUUUAAAAAAAAAAAGGUAGUUUAUAAUUAAAUAUAGUAUGGUAUAUUUACUGCUUGAAAUAACAGCCCUUAAAAAUUAGGAAAGUAAAUAAAAUUUAAAAGAAAGUCUACGUUCCUCAAAAACUCGAGAAUACUUUCUUUUCCUUUUUGUUUUUUUGUGACAGGGCCUUGCUCUGCAGCCCAGGGUGAUCUUGAAUUUGUGAUUCUCCUGUCUCAGCCUCCCAAGUGCUUCAAUUACAAGCAUGGACCAUCAUGCCCAACACUAUAUUUAAAGUCAAGAUUUUCUUCUUUGAGCCUGUCACCUCAAGAUCACAACAGGGCCGCCGCUUCUCAGGCACAACAUUUUCAUAAAGGCACAGGAGAAGAUCUCAAAUACAGAAAAGGCAAUGUCGCUAAAGUUCUAAUUCAAACUUUCACAUUACUUAUAAGGUGAGUUAUAAAUUAUUGCCCAGAAGUAGUAAAUGCUGAUCUUUUAAAUAUGCAAAA